GAUGAACGCUGGCGGCGUGCUUAACACAUGCAAGUCGAACGAGAAGUGAAGACGGAAACCUUCGGGCGGAAGGCUUUAUUUCGAGUGGCGGACGGGUGAGUAACGCGUGGGUAACCUGCCUCAUACAGGGGGAUAACAGUUGGAAACGACUGUUAAUACCGCAUAAGACCACAGCACCGCAUGGUGCGGGGGUAAAAACUCCGGUGGUAUGAGAUGGACCCGCGUUCGAUUAGCCAGUUGGCGGGGUAACGGCCCACCAAAGCGACGAUCGAUAGCCGAUCUGAGAGGAUGACCGGCCACAUUGGGACUGAGACACGGCCCAAACUCCUACGGGAAGCAGCAGUGGGGGAUAUUGCACAAUGGGGGAAACCCUGAUGCAGCGACGCCGCGUGAGUGAAGAAGUAUUUCGGUAUGUAAAGCUCUAUCAGCAGGGAAGAAAAUGACGGUACCUGAGUAAGAAGCCCCGGCUAACUACGUG
Molecule: ribosomal RNA, 478 nt
Filed under: uncultured bacterium
Lineage: Bacteria
Description: partial 16S ribosomal RNA
Rfam family: Bacterial small subunit ribosomal RNA
Source: RNAcentral